CUGAUCUCAAAUCAGGNAGGACUACCCGCUGAACUUAAGCAUAUCAAU
This 48-nucleotide ribosomal RNA is filed under the name Rhizoctonia solani. RNAcentral's name for it is "partial 28S ribosomal RNA". Lineage: Eukaryota; Fungi; Basidiomycota; Agaricomycetes; Cantharellales; Ceratobasidiaceae. The record is from RNAcentral.